AGCGAAACGCUGGCGGCGUACUUAACACAUGCAAGUCGAACGAGGAUCAUCGGGUUAGCAAUAAUUCGGUGGUCCUAGUGGCGCACGGGUGAGUAACACGUGGGUGACCUGCCCUUGAGCUCGGGAUACCCCCUCGAAAGGGGGGCUAAUACCGGAUACGUUCCUCGGUCGAAAGACUGAGGAGGAAAGGUGGCGCAAGCUGCCGCUCUUGGAGGGGCUCGCGGCCUAUCAGCUAGUGGCGGGGUAACGGCCCACCAAGGCUAUGACGGGUAGCUGGUCUGAGAGGACGACCAGCCACACGGGGACUGAGACACGGCCCCGACUCCUACGGGAGGCAGCAGUGGGAAUUUUCCGCAAUGGGCGAAAGCCUGACGGAGUGACGCCGCGUGUGGGACGAAGGCCUUC
Molecule: ribosomal RNA, 405 nt
Filed under: uncultured bacterium
Lineage: Bacteria
Description: bacterial SSU rRNA
Rfam family: Bacterial small subunit ribosomal RNA
Source: RNAcentral